Molecule: ribosomal RNA, 477 nt
Filed under: uncultured bacterium
Lineage: Bacteria
Description: partial 16S ribosomal RNA
Rfam family: Bacterial small subunit ribosomal RNA
Source: RNAcentral
GACGAACGCUGGCGGCGUGCUUAACACAUGCAAGUCGAACGGUAAGGCCCUUCGGGGUACACGAGUGGCGAACGGGUGAGUAACACGUGGGUGAUCUGCCCUGCACUUCGGGAUAAGCCUGGGAAACUGGGUCUAAUAACGGAAAGGAACACUGCCUGCAUGGGGGGUGGUGGAAAGCUUUUGCGGUGUGGGGCGGGCCGCGGCCUAUGAGCUUGCUGGUGGGGGGAUGGCCUAACAAGGCGACGACGGGUAGCCGGCCUGAGAGGGUGGCCGGCCACACUGGGACUGAGAUACGGCCCAGACUCCUACGGGGGGCAGCAGUGGGGAAUAUUGCACAAUGGGCGCGAGCCUGAUGAAGCGACGCCGCGUGAGGGAUGACGUCCUUCGGGUUGUAAACCUCUUUCAGCACCGACGAAGCGCAAGUGACGGUAGGUGCAGAAGAAGGACCGGCCAACUACGUGGCAGCCGCCGCCGUAA